This 467-nucleotide ribosomal RNA is filed under the name uncultured bacterium. Its description in RNAcentral is "partial 16S ribosomal RNA". It matches the Rfam family "Bacterial small subunit ribosomal RNA", at positions 28 to 507 of the family's 1533-position model. The record is from RNAcentral.
GACGAACGCUGGCGGCGUGCUUAACACAUGCAAGUCGAACGGAAAGGCCCUGCUUUUGUGGGGUGCUCGAGUGGCGAACGGGUGAGUAACACGUGAGUAACCUGCCCUUGACUUUGGGAUAACUUCAGGAAACUGGGGCUAAUACCGGAUAGGAGCUCCUGCUGCAUGGUGGGGGUUGGAAAGUUUCGGCGGUUGGGGAUGGACUCGCGGCUUAUCAGCUUGUUGGUGGGGUAGUGGCUUACCAAGGCUUUGACGGGUAGCCGGCCUGAGAGGGUGACCGGCCACAUGGGGACUGAGAUACGCCCAGACUCCUACGGGAGGCAGCAGUGGGGAAUAUUGCACAAUGGGCGGAAGCCUGAUGCAGCAACGCCGCGUGCGGGAUGACGGCCUUCGGGUUGUAAACCGCUUUCGCCUGUGACGAAGCGUGAGUGACGGUAAUGGGUAAAGAAGCACCGGCUAACUACGUG